AUUGAACGCUGGCGGCAGGCCUAACACAUGCAAGUCGGACGGUAGCACAGAGGAGCUUGCUCCUCGGGUGACGAGUGGCGGACGGGUGAGUAAUGUCUGGGGAUCUGCCCGAUAGAGGGGGAUAACCACUGGAAACGGUGGCUAAUACCGCAUAACGUCGCAAGACCAAAGAGGGGGACCUUCGGGCCUCUCACUAUCGGAUGAACCCAGAUGGGAUUAGCUAGUAGGCGGGGUAAUGGCCCACCUAGGCGACGAUCCCUAGCUGGUCUGAGAGGAUGACCAGCCACACUGGAACUGAGACACGGUCCAGACUCCUACGGGAGGCAGCAGUGGGGAAUAUUGCACAAUGGGCGCAAGCCUGAUGCAGCCAUGCCGCGUGUAUGAAGAAGGCCUUCGGGUUGUAAAGUACUUUCAGCGGGGAGGAAGGCGAUGUGGUUAAUAACCUUGUCGAUUGACGUUACCCGCAGAAGAAGCACCGGCUAACUCCGUGCCAGCAGCCGCAGUAA
RNAcentral lists this ribosomal RNA (506 nucleotides) under uncultured bacterium. RNAcentral's name for it is "partial 16S ribosomal RNA". It matches the Rfam family "Bacterial small subunit ribosomal RNA", at positions 30 to 523 of the family's 1533-position model. The record is from RNAcentral.